Long non-coding RNA from Mesocricetus auratus (golden hamster), 1184 nucleotides. RefSeq lists it as uncharacterized. The transcript is spliced from 3 exons. NCBI's taxonomy places the organism in Eukaryota, Metazoa, Chordata, Mammalia, Rodentia, Cricetidae. The record is from RefSeq and is a predicted model, not a curated record.
GCUACUGCUUUUGCUGUCUCCCAGGAGAGGUCACCCACCCAGCCUGGGGUUUCUGUUAGUCUUUCAGGGCUGGGUGUUUACUCAAGUCCUUAAGCCAUCUGGACCUGUGGGCUGGACUUGGACACCCUCUUCCUUGGAGCUCUUCCCCCUUUCCCUUUCAAGCUGGAAAGUGGUGACCCCUUUAAGGAGGAAGGAGGAAGCAGAUGCCUGGAAGGAAAGCAAGAGAGCAGUGGCUGCUGCCAUGUUUUACUUCUUGACCUGAUCUAUGCCUCGCCCAGCCACCAUCAGAGAAGCUUCCUCCUGUAGCAGAUGGAAAGAAAUACAGAGACCCACAACCAGAUCAUAUGCAGAGAGUGAGAGACCUUGGAACACUCAGCUCUAAAAGGGAUGUCUCCAUCAAAUCCCUCCCCUCAGAGCUCAAGGAAAUCUGCUGGAAAAGGAGGCAGAUGGAGUGUAAGAUCCAGCGGGAACAGAGGACAAAAAGAAAUCAAUCAACAAAGCCUUCUACACACAAGACUGAUGCACAUAUGAACUUCCAGAGACUGGCAACACCCACAGGGUCUACAGAGAUCUGCACUAAACAGGAUUGUAGAGUUGACAGGAAAAGCGGACACACAAACACUCCACCCCUAACUGAGAAGCCAUCUCUAGUUAAUGAUCACUUACAAAUGAAAAUUAGUUUUCUUCAAGGAAGUCUCACUGGGGAAAACAAACCACUGUUAAGGGUAGGCCCCAUUCUCAGCACUAGAUGGCCAGCCUAAAACGAGUUCAGUGGUGUCUUUGGAGGUUCUUUGUCUCAUUGUGUUUUGUUUUGUUUUCCAUCAUAUGGUUCCUUUGAGUAUAUAGUAUGGCUUCUGCUUUGGGUUUUUUAUGGGAUUUCUGAGUGUGUAAAUGUGUAUGACUCUGCAUCUAUAUUCUAUAUGCAUUUCUUGUGCUUUUUCUUUGGCUCUUUUUUCUUGUUUGGUUGUUUUAUCAUAUUCUGAGUUGAUUUGUUUGUUUUUUAUUUAUGUUCUUAUUUUAUUUUAUUAAUAUUCCUUAGAUCUCUGUUUGUUUUCUAAGUAGAGACAGAAAGGGUGUGGAUGCUGAUAGAAGGGGAGAUUGGGAAGAGUAGGGGAAGGAAAAAUUGUAAUCAGAAUAUAUUACAUGAAAAAUAACUAUUUUCACUAAAAAACUAAAAACACAAA